AGUGAAUUUUAGCAGAUCUCUAUAUGCGCACAAUAAUUAUAUUAUAAUUAAUUAAGUAUGGUAGUAAUUCUAGACAUUGAUAAAUUUUUGACUCGCGAUGAUCUAAGACUACUCAAAAGUGCUAAGUGGCCAUGGAGAAGAUCGCACUUUAUACUAGCAAAGAAAUGUCACAACUGUAACGCUAAUACUAACACGUACCCUGGAUUACCUACUCACUUUGUAAUAUUUAGUGCCAAAUACAUAUAUCGUCUUUUAAAUCAUAAUUUUUUCUGGUGUCAAACUUGUUCAUUCUUUACUAUAUAUGAUCAUUUUCCGGAAGACGAGUGCAAAUAUUGCGAAUGUUAACAAAGACAGCUACGCAACUACCCUAAAAAUUAAUAAAAAUGCCAUUAACCGGAGCUGAACGGGCUAAAAAAUUUAGAGAAAAAUUAAAGGAGGAUCCAGAAAAGUAUGAAAGAUAUAAACAGAAACAAAGAGAACGAGUUGCUAAACGAAGGAAAAAAAUUGAUGAUUUAGAUGAUAACGAGAAAGAAAAGCAAAGGGAACAGUGGAGAAAAGAAAAAAGAGUUCAAAAAAAAAGAAAAGAUGUAAAAAGUAAUCAAGAGGCAAAUAAUCAAGUAACCAUACCAAAAAAUAGAACUAAUAAGCAAAGUAGUAAACUGAAUAAAAAGUUACAAAGGGUAUACGCUAACUACUACAGGGCUCAAAAAAAACAACAAAAGUUGAAUACAGUCAUUGGUCGUCUCAGGAAGCAGUUAAUUCGCACUAAGCAAAAAGUACAAGGUUUGGAAACAUCUAAAAGUGUAGCUGAAAAAGAACUGAAUAGUUUGAAAAAUGCUGUGAAAGAGACUUAUACAGAAUGCAAAACACUGGCAGAGAAAAGAUCGUUAAAAAAAAUUGCAUACAAAUUUAAACAACGGUCUGGAAAGAACCUGCCGAAAAUUUUGGGCCUAAAAACUAAAAUAAGAUUUUUCAAUCGUAGAAGCAAUAACAAUUACGGGACAUUAAAGGUUCGAGAAAACAUUGCCGCAUUCUAUCUUCGAGAUGACGUAUCUAGA
Molecule: long non-coding RNA, 1058 nt
Organism: Plodia interpunctella (Indianmeal moth)
Lineage: Eukaryota; Metazoa; Arthropoda; Insecta; Lepidoptera; Pyralidae
Exons: 3
Source: RefSeq, a predicted model, not a curated record